AAAUAGACUACCCCAGGUAGUCCACGACCGUAAACCGAGUGAAUGCUAGGGUGUUAGGGGGUUUCGAUACCCUUGGUGCCGAAGUUAAACACAUUAAGCAUUCCGCCGUGGGGGACGUACGGUCGCAAGACUGAAACUCAAAAGGAAUUGGACGGGGGACCCGCGACAAGCAGUGGGAGUAUGUGGUUUAAUUCGAAGCAACGCGAAGAACCCUUACCAGGGUCUUGACAUCCCCCUGACCGGUCUAGAGAUAGGGCCUUUCCUUCGGGGACAGGGGGAGACAGGUGGUGGCAUGGUUGGUCGUCAGCUCGUGUCGUGAGAUGUUGGGUUAAGUCCCGCAACGAGCGCAACCCGUUGACUUUAGUUGCCACGCAGGUAAAGCUGGGGCACUCUAGAGUGACGUGCCGGUGACAAACCGGGAGGAAGGUGGGGGAUGGACGUCGAAAUCGAUCAUGCCCCGUUUAUGUACCGUGGGGUCUACCACACGUACCUACAACUGGCCGGUACGAACGGGAAGCGAAGGAGGCGGAUCGUGG
Molecule: ribosomal RNA, 536 nt
Filed under: uncultured bacterium
Lineage: Bacteria
Description: bacterial SSU rRNA
Rfam family: Bacterial small subunit ribosomal RNA
Source: RNAcentral